UACGGAGGAUGCGAGCGUUAUCCGGAUUUAUUGGGUUUAAAGGGUGCGCAGGCGGCACGGCAAGCCGGCGGUCAAGUCGCGGGGCUCAACCCCGCCCAGCCGUCGGAACUGCCGGGCUAGAGUGGGCGAGAAGUGCGCGGAAUGCGUGGUGUAGCGGUGAAAUGCAUAGAUAUCACGCAGAACUCCGAUUGCGAAGGCAGCGCACCGGCGCCCUACUGACGCUCAGGCACGAAAGCGUGGGUAUCGAACAGG
This 252-nucleotide ribosomal RNA is filed under the name uncultured bacterium. RNAcentral describes it as "partial 16S ribosomal RNA". It matches the Rfam family "Bacterial small subunit ribosomal RNA", at positions 524 to 776 of the family's 1533-position model. The record is from RNAcentral.